CUUGAACGCCACCGCUGCAAACAACAAGUUGUGGCGCCGUUGAUCCGCUAGAUUUGGUUGGAUGCUGGUGGUGAGUUGCUGAACCCAAAGAGUGCAUCCUGAAGUAGGAUGGGGUGAUCGGAUUAGGGUGUCCCUCUCGCAGGGGAGAGCAGGGAAUUGCCUCGGGAAGGAGGCCGCUGGGGAAGCUGUACCACCCUGUAACAACAUCAAGAUGUG
Molecule: long non-coding RNA, 216 nt
Filed under: Volvox carteri
Lineage: Eukaryota; Viridiplantae; Chlorophyta; Chlorophyceae; Chlamydomonadales; Volvocaceae
Description: long non-coding RNA (VCAR_LNC003097)
Source: RNAcentral